GAUGAACGCUGGCGGCGCACAUAAGACAUGCAAGUCGAACGGACUUAACCAUUAGUUUACUAUUGGAGCGGUUAGUGGCGGACUGGUGAGUAACACGUAAGCAACCUGCCUAUCAGAGGGGAACAACAGUUAGAAAUGACUGCUAAUACCGCAUAUGCCUUAAGUAUCGCAUGAUACAAGAGGGAAAGGAGUAAUCCGCUGAUAGAUGGGCUUGCGUCUGAUUAGAUAGUUGGUGGGGUAACGGCCUACCAAGUCGACGAUCAGUAGCCGGACUGAGAGGUUGAACGGCCACAUUGGGACUGAGAUACGGCCCAG
RNAcentral lists this ribosomal RNA (315 nucleotides) under uncultured bacterium. RNAcentral describes it as "bacterial SSU rRNA". It matches the Rfam family "Bacterial small subunit ribosomal RNA", at positions 28 to 334 of the family's 1533-position model. The record is from RNAcentral.